GCUGAGGGGCGCUCCGGUGCCGGCUCGCUGCCAGCCUGGAGCGGUAAAGCGCGAGCGUAGUCCCAAGCCUAC
RNAcentral lists this non-coding RNA (72 nucleotides) under unclassified sequences. The record is from RNAcentral.